UUGAUCAUACCAGUGACAACAUUUGGAGAGUUCUCUUGCUCAUGACGACUGGUGAUUGCAUAGAGGCGAUUUGCUCCUCCACCGGUACUAGAAGUAGCUCCUCUAGGUGUCGUCCUGUCUGGUGGAACAACUGAAGAAGACUGUGCUCUAUUGCCCCUAUUACCCUGCCUAUUCUUUGGACACUCUCGCAUGAAAUGUCCAUUCUUAC
RNAcentral lists this long non-coding RNA (208 nucleotides) under Solanum tuberosum (potato). RNAcentral's name for it is "long non-coding RNA (STUB_LNC011754)". The record is from RNAcentral. Lineage: Eukaryota; Viridiplantae; Streptophyta; Magnoliopsida; Solanales; Solanaceae.